This 493-nucleotide ribosomal RNA is filed under the name uncultured bacterium. RNAcentral's name for it is "bacterial SSU rRNA". It matches the Rfam family "Bacterial small subunit ribosomal RNA", at positions 355 to 866 of the family's 1533-position model. The record is from RNAcentral.
UGGGGAAUAUUGGACAAUGGGCGCAAGCCUGAUCCAGCCAUGCCGCGUGAGUGAUGACGGCCUUAGGGUUGUAAAGCUCUUUCGCUCGGGACGAUAAUGACGGUACCGAGAUAAGAAGCCCCGGCUAACUUCGUGCCAGCAGCCGCGGUAAUACGAAGGGGGCUAGCGUUGUUCGGAAUUACUGGGCGUAAAGCGCGUGUAGGCGGGUCUUUAAGUCAGGGGUGAAAUGCCAAGGCUCAACCUUGGAACUGCCUUUGAUACUGGAGAUCUUGAGUCCGGGAGAGGUGAGUGGAAUUGCGAGUGUAGAGGUGAAAUUCGUAGAUAUUCGCAAGAACACCAGUGGCGAAGGCGGCUCACUGGCCCGGAACUGACGCUGAGACGCGAAAGCGUGGGGAGCAAACAGGAUUAGAUACCCUGGUAGUCCACGCUGUAAACGAUGGAUGCUAGCCGUUGGGGAGCUUGCUCUUCAGUGGCGCAGCUAACGCUUUAAGCA